This 442-nucleotide ribosomal RNA is filed under the name uncultured bacterium. RNAcentral's name for it is "partial 16S ribosomal RNA". It matches the Rfam family "Bacterial small subunit ribosomal RNA", at positions 338 to 795 of the family's 1533-position model. The record is from RNAcentral.
CCUACGGGAGGCAGCAGUGGGGAAUAUUGGGCAAUGGGCGCAAGCCUGACCCAGCAAAGCCGCGUGAAGGAAGAAGGCUUUCGGGUUGUAAACUUCUUUUGUCAGGGAAGAGUAGAAGACGGUACCUGACGAAUAAGCCACGGCUAACUACGUGCCAGCAGCCGCGGUAAUACGUAGGUGGAAAGCGUUGUCCGGAUUUACUGGGUGUAAAGGGCGUGUAGCCGGGUUGACAAGUCAGAUGUUAAAUCCUGCGGCUUAACCGCAGAACUGCAUUUGAAACUGUUGAUCUUGAGUACUGGAGAGGCAGACGGAAUUCCUAGUGUAGCGGUGAAAUGCGUAGAUAUUAGGAGGAACACCAGUGGCGAAGGCGGUCUGCUGGACAGCAACUGACGGUGAGGCGCGAAAGCGUGGGGAGCAAACAGGAUUAGAUACCCUUGUAGUC